UACAGAGGGUGCAAGCGUUGUUCGGAAUUAUUGGGCGUAAAGAGCGUGUAGGCGGCUUGUUAAGUCUUGCGUGAAAUCUCGGGGCUCAACCCCGAGCGGUCGUGAGAAACUGGCAGGCUAGAGUGCGGGAGAGGAGAGUGGAAUUCCUGGUGUAGCGGUGAAAUGCGCAGAUAUCAGGAAGAACACCCGUGGCGAAGGCGGCUCUCUGGAACGCAACUGACGCUGAGACGCGAAAGCGUGGGGAGCAAACAGG
RNAcentral lists this ribosomal RNA (253 nucleotides) under uncultured bacterium. RNAcentral describes it as "partial 16S ribosomal RNA". It matches the Rfam family "Bacterial small subunit ribosomal RNA", at positions 524 to 776 of the family's 1533-position model. The record is from RNAcentral.